GCAAAGUGGCCGAGAAUGAGGCAAAAGAUUGUAGCUCUUUACACGGGCCACCCCCUUUGCA
RNAcentral lists this transfer RNA (61 nucleotides) under Lamprotula cornuumlunae. Its description in RNAcentral is "tRNA-Tyr". Lineage: Eukaryota; Metazoa; Mollusca; Bivalvia; Unionida; Unionidae. The record is from RNAcentral.